CCCAAGAGAUCGGGAUAACACCUGGAAACAGAUGCUAAUACCGGAUAACAACAGAUGAUGCCUAUCAACUGUUUAAAAGAUGGUUCUGCUAUCACUCUUGGAUGGACCUGCGGUGCAUUAGCUAGUUGGUAGGGUAACGGCCUACCAAGGCGAUGAUGNAUAGCCGAGUUGAGAGACUGAUCGGCCACAUUGGGACUGAGACACGGCCCAAACUCCUACGGGAGGCAGCAGCG
This 233-nucleotide ribosomal RNA is filed under the name uncultured Lactobacillus sp. RNAcentral's name for it is "partial 16S ribosomal RNA". It matches the Rfam family "Bacterial small subunit ribosomal RNA", at positions 129 to 356 of the family's 1533-position model. Lineage: Bacteria; Bacillati; Bacillota; Bacilli; Lactobacillales; Lactobacillaceae. The record is from RNAcentral.